Molecule: small nuclear RNA, 105 nt
Organism: Ursus americanus (American black bear)
Lineage: Eukaryota; Metazoa; Chordata; Mammalia; Carnivora; Ursidae
Source: Ensembl
GUGCUUGCUUCAACAGCACAUAUACUAAAAUUGGAACAACAGAGAAGAUUUGCACGGCCCCUGCACAAAGAUGACAUGCAAAUUUGUGAAGCAUUCCAUGUUUUU